AUGAAUAAGAAUCCUUCAUCUUCAGUCUCCCUGUGCAUUUUCUCUGGACAGAUAUCUUCGGUAUCCUUCCACGCACAAGCGCACACACACAAGCUUAGUUACAUCUCCCACUCACUCACUCACUCACUCACCAGCAUCUCAUCACAAAUCCGGCAAAAGCACUCCGAAGAAACACAAGAAGAAGAGAGAAAAACACACCCCAAAAUGUACUGUACAAGUAUGCAUGCUCUGAACACCAAGCUCAACCACACAGUCAGUCAGUCAGUCCCCUACGUUGAGCAGCACGUCCCACAGCGUCUCGUCGACCAGCUCCGACAGGAUCUCCGCCUCCAUCUCCUCGGCUAUCCCGUCGACGUCGUCGCGGAACACGCCGCUCCAGGGGGACACGCCCAUGUCGCGGCCGAUGAGCCCGUCCACCGAGUAGGCGUCGUCGUCGACGCUCGGCGGCUCCAGCCACGUCUGCACGGAUCUCCACAGCCCGUCGAGCAGCCUCUUGUCCGCCGACGCUCUUCUCGGUGGCGCCGCGUACCACUUGCUGAACACGCACAGUGUCGUCGAGCCGCGGGCGGCUCCGGGCAGCGCCUCGUUUAUCAGGUCGAAGAGGAGGCGGUGGUCGACGUCAUGGACGGAAGCGGCUUCCGGAGGUGGUGUCGAGCAGAUGACUUGCUCGAACGCCCACUUGGGGAUCGGCUUGAUCGGUUGGCAGGUUAA
Molecule: ribosomal RNA, 711 nt
Filed under: Triticum aestivum (bread wheat)
Lineage: Eukaryota; Viridiplantae; Streptophyta; Magnoliopsida; Poales; Poaceae
Description: partial small subunit ribosomal RNA
Source: RNAcentral